RNAcentral lists this ribosomal RNA (136 nucleotides) under Solanum tuberosum (potato). RNAcentral describes it as "5.8S ribosomal RNA". It matches the Rfam family "5.8S ribosomal RNA". Rfam says of the family: 5.8S ribosomal RNA (5.8S rRNA) is a component of the large subunit of the eukaryotic ribosome. Lineage: Eukaryota; Viridiplantae; Streptophyta; Magnoliopsida; Solanales; Solanaceae. The record is from Rfam by way of RNAcentral.
AACUCUUAUCAACGGAUAUCUUGACUCUCGCAUCAAUAAAAAAAAUAGUAAAAUGGAUAUUUGAUGUGAAUCAUCGAAUUUUUGAAGUAAAUCCAUCUGAUAUCAUUAAAUCGAGGACAUAUCUAUAUGAGCAUCA